Molecule: long non-coding RNA, 1496 nt
Organism: Coturnix japonica (Japanese quail)
Lineage: Eukaryota; Metazoa; Chordata; Aves; Galliformes; Phasianidae
Source: Ensembl
UGUGCAGCAGGGUCAACAACAGUAUCUUCAGUCCCUGGAAAGCAUUUUCUUGUUGAAUUUUUGUAUUCCUGGCAAUCACCACUGCUAACCUUCUCCUAAACAUGGCUUACUGGCACAGGUUGCCCAGAGAAGCUAUGGAUAUUCCAUCCCUGGAGGGAAUCAAGGAGGGGGCCCUGAGCAGCCUGAUCUAGUGAGUGGCAACCCUGACCAUGGUAGGGAGGUGGAAAGGGAUGGACUUUAAGGUCCCUAAACCAUUGUGUGAGUCUGUGAUUUUAUGUGUGACCUCACAGGGACCUCACCUCAGCAAGCAGGCUGUCACUCACUCUCCGUUUCCUUUCUGUAAACUCUCUUCAGCAUUUCUUCUGCAGUAAACAGGAUGACUUCCCUAAUGGCACUGUGGCUCCUGUAGGAUCCACUCCACUAAAUAACCAGGCUGAAAUACUGCAACAUUGCCUUCAUUCUCCCUGGGUGCCCAGAAUGCUUCUCUGCUAGUAGUAACUGCAACAUAACCAAGCUGCUCAACUCAGGAAAUGUGCCACCUGGAAAACACAGUGACUGGCAUGCCUUAGUGCUUUCCAUCCAUUUCAGCGAGUUUCUCUUCAUGCCAUUUUAAUGAAAUGCUGCGGACAACAGGGAGAGAUGACUGCCUGGGCAAGCACAGGAAAGUGUGAUAAGCAGUCAGUUUGGAUCACGACUACUCUAAGGAUGUGGUGGAACUUCACCGCUGGCUGCAGCUACUCUGGCAGCGGGCGCUGGUCCAGGCCGGGCCUUUGGUGCGGCCGGGCACAGUGCCACGGGUGGGGCAGCCUGCCACUCCUUGAGCCCAGCAAACUGCUCCUUGAGCCCAGCAAACUGCUCCUUGAGCCCAGCCUGCCACUCCUUGAGGCCGGCAUGCCGCUCCUUGGGCCCAGCUUGCCACUUCCUGGGCCUGCUGCCCGCUGGGCUGUGCUGGGCCAUGCUGGCUGUGCGAGGCUGCUUACACCAUGUGAACAGUUACUCUUAAUGGGGCUGUGCUCCUUGCCUCCUCGGUUCAGGUCUGGUUGGUCCUUUACUUUUUGGUAUUACAGUGUUUGCCUUCAGUGCAUGAUUUCUUUGAGCUUCAGUCAGAAACCCACAUGCAGCUAAAACACAGGCUUUAAACAGCUCUCUGCAGUCUUCUUUCAGAGUCAUCUAAGCUCAAAACACAGGUGGGAACGUGUCAUUAACACCCACCAAAACAAAAAAAAAAAAGAGAGAGAGAGAGAGAGAGAAAGAAAGAAAGAAAGGAAGAAAGGAAGAAAGGAAGAAAGGAAGAAAGGAAGAAAGGAAGAAAGAAAGAAAGAAAGAAAGAAAGAAAGAAAAGAAAGAAAAGAAGAAAAGAAAAGAAAAGAAAGAAAGAAAACUAAGAAAAAGAAAGAAAAGAGAAAGAAGAGAGAAGAAAGAAGAAAGACAAAAGAAAGAAAAAAGAAAGAAGAUAAGAAAGAAAGAAAGAAAGAAAGAAAGGAAGGAAGAAGAAA